ACGAACGCUGGCGGCGUGCCUAAUACAUGCAAGUAGAACGCUGAAGGAGGAGCUUGCUUCUCCGGAUGAGUUGCGAACGGGUGAGUAACGCGUAGGUAACCUGCCUGGUAGCGGGGGAUAACUAUUGGAAACGAUAGCUAAUACCGCAUAACAGUAGAUAUUGCAUGAUAUCUGCUUGAAAGGUGCAAUUGCAUCACUACCAGAUGGACCUGCGUUGUAUUAGCUAGUUGGUGAGGUAACGGCUCACCAAGGCGACGAUACAUAGCCGACCUGAGAGGGUGAUCGGCCACACUGGGACUGAGACACGGCCCAGACUCCUACGGGAGGCAGCAGUAGGGAAUCUUCGGCAAUGGACGGAAGUCUGACCGAGCAACGCCGCGUGAGUGAAGAAGGUUUUCGGAUCGUAAAGCUCUGUUGUAAGAGAAGAACGAGUGUGAGAGUGGAAAGUUCACACUGUGACGGUAUCUUACCAGAAAGGGACGGCUAACUACGUG
This 494-nucleotide ribosomal RNA is filed under the name uncultured bacterium. RNAcentral's name for it is "partial 16S ribosomal RNA". It matches the Rfam family "Bacterial small subunit ribosomal RNA", at positions 29 to 507 of the family's 1533-position model. The record is from RNAcentral.